GGGUUGUAAACUUCUUUUAUAUUAGAAUAAAGUGCAGUAUGUAUACUGUUUUGUAUGUAUAAUAUGAAUAAGGAUCGGCUAACUCCGUGCCAGCAGCCGCGGUAAUACGGAGGAUCCGAGCGUUAUCCGGAUUUAUUGGGUUUAAAGGGAGCGUAGGUGGGCUGGUAAGUCAGUUGUGAAAGUUUGCGGCUCAACCGUAAAAUUGCAGUUGAUACUGUCAGCCUUGAGUACAGUAGAGGUGGGCGGAAUUCGUGGUGUAGCGGUGAAAUGCUUAGAUAUCACGAAGAACUCCGAUUGCGAAGGCAGCUCACUGGACUGCAACUGACACUGAUGCUCGAAAGUGUGGGUAUCAAACAGGAUUAGAUACCCUGGUAGUCCACACAGUAAA
RNAcentral lists this ribosomal RNA (388 nucleotides) under uncultured bacterium. RNAcentral describes it as "bacterial SSU rRNA". It matches the Rfam family "Bacterial small subunit ribosomal RNA", at positions 420 to 806 of the family's 1533-position model. The record is from RNAcentral.